UACGUAGGGUGCAAGCGUUAAUCGGAAUUACUGGGCGUAAAGCGUGCGCAGGCGGUUUUGUAAGUCAGAUGUGAAAUCCCCGGGCUCAACCUGGGAACUGCAUUUGUGACUGUAGAGCUGGAGUGCGGCAGAGGGGGAUGGAAUUCCGCGUGUAGCAGUGAAAUGCGCAGAUAUCAGGAGGAACACCGGUGGCGAAGGCGGCCUGCUGGGCAGUAGCUGACACUGAGGCGCGACAGCGUGGGGAGCAAACAGG
RNAcentral lists this ribosomal RNA (253 nucleotides) under uncultured bacterium. Its description in RNAcentral is "partial 16S ribosomal RNA". It matches the Rfam family "Bacterial small subunit ribosomal RNA", at positions 524 to 776 of the family's 1533-position model. The record is from RNAcentral.